This 447-nucleotide ribosomal RNA is filed under the name uncultured Streptococcus sp. RNAcentral describes it as "bacterial SSU rRNA". It matches the Rfam family "Bacterial small subunit ribosomal RNA", at positions 933 to 1382 of the family's 1533-position model. The record is from RNAcentral. Lineage: Bacteria; Bacillati; Bacillota; Bacilli; Lactobacillales; Streptococcaceae.
UGGAGCAUGUGGUUAAUUCGAAGCAACGCGAAGAACCUUACCAGGUCUUGACAUCCCGAUGCUAUUUCUAGAGAUAGAAAGUUACUUCGGUACAUCGGUGACAGGUGGUGCAUGGUUGUCGUCAGCUCGUGUCGUGAGAUGUUGGGUUAAGUCCCGCAACGAGCGCAACCCCUAUUGUUAGUUGCCAUCAUUCAGUUGGGCACUCUAGCGAGACUGCCGGUAAUAAACCGGAGGAAGGUGGGAUGACGUCAAAUCAUCAUGCCCCUUAUGACCUGGGCUACACACGUGCUACAAUGGUUGGUACAACGAGUUGCGAGUCGGUGACGGCGAGCUAAUCUCUUAAAGCCAAUCUCAGUUCGGAUUGUAGGCUGCAACUCGCCUACAUGAAGUCGGAAUCGCUAGUAAUCGCGGAUCAGCAUGCCCGCGGUCGAAUACGUUCCGGGCCUU